This 534-nucleotide ribosomal RNA is filed under the name uncultured bacterium. RNAcentral describes it as "bacterial SSU rRNA". It matches the Rfam family "Bacterial small subunit ribosomal RNA", at positions 338 to 865 of the family's 1533-position model. The record is from RNAcentral.
CCUACGGGAGGCUGGAGUGGGGAAUAUAGGACAAUGGGGGCAAGCCUGAACCAGCCAUUCCCCGUGCUGGAUGAAGGCCUUCGGGUAGUAAUCUGCAUUUGUACGGAACGAAACGGCGAGCUCUUAUACUGUUAGCUAAUGACGGUACCGUAAGUAUAAGCACCGGCUAACUACGUGCCAGCAGDCGCGGUUAUACGUAGGGUGCAAGCGUUUAUCGGUAAUACUGGGCGUAAAGCGUGCGCAGGGGGUAAUAUAUGACAGAUGUGAAAUCCCGGGGCUCUACCUGGGAACUGCAUUUCUGUCUGUAAGGCUAGAGUACGGCAGAGGGGGUAGGAUUUCCGCGUGUAGCAGUGAAUUGCGUAGAAAUGCGGUCGAACACCGAUGGCGAUGGCAAUGCCCUGGGCCUGUACUGUCGCUCAUGCACGUAAGCGUGGGGAGCAAUCAGGAUUAGAUACCCAGGUAGUCCACGCCCUAAAGGAUGUCAACUGGUUGUUGGGUCUUCACUGACUGAGUAACGAAGCUAACGCGUGAAGU